CCUACGGGUGGCAGCAGUGGGGAAUAUUGCACAAUGGGGGAAACCCUGAUGCAGCAACGCCGCGUGAGUGAAGAAGUAUUUCGGUAUGUAAAGCUCUAUCAGCAGGGAAGACGAUGACGGUACCCGAAUAAGAAGCACCGGCUAACUACGUGCCAGCAGCCGCGGUCAUACGUAGGGGGCAAGCGUUAUCCGGAUUUACUGGGUGUAAAGCGCUCGUAGGCGGUAUGUCAAGUCAAGGGGGAAAUCCCCGGGCUCAACGUGGGAACUGCCUUUGAAACUGGCAAACUGGAGUGUGUGAGAGGAUAGUGGAAUUCCAGGUGUAGGAGUGAAAUCCGUAGAUAUCUGGAGGAACAUCAGUGGCGAAGGCGACUAUCUGGCACAUAACUGACGCUGAGGAGCGAAAGCGUGGGUAGCAAACAGGAUUAGAUACCCUUGUAGUC
RNAcentral lists this ribosomal RNA (440 nucleotides) under uncultured bacterium. Its description in RNAcentral is "partial 16S ribosomal RNA". It matches the Rfam family "Bacterial small subunit ribosomal RNA", at positions 338 to 795 of the family's 1533-position model. The record is from RNAcentral.